AUACGGAGGGUGCAAGCGUUAAUCGGAAUUACUGGGCGUAAAGCGUGCGUAGGCGGUUCGUUAAGUCUGUUGUGAAAGCCCCGGGCUCAACCUGGGAAUGGCAAUGGAUACUGGCGAGCUAGAGUGUGUCAGAGGAUGGUGGAAUUCCCGGUGUAGCGGUGAAAUGCGUAGAGAUCGGGAGGAACAUCAGUGGCGAAGGCGGCCAUCUGGGACAACACUGACGCUGAGGCACGAAAGCGUGGGGAGCAAACAGGAUUAGAUACCCUGGUAGUCCACGCCCUAAACGAUGCGAACUGGAUGUUGGUCUCAACUCGGAGAUCAGUGUCGAAGCUAACGCGUUAAGUUCGCCGCCUGGGGAGUACGGUCGCAAGACUGAA
RNAcentral lists this ribosomal RNA (377 nucleotides) under uncultured bacterium. RNAcentral's name for it is "bacterial SSU rRNA". It matches the Rfam family "Bacterial small subunit ribosomal RNA", at positions 523 to 898 of the family's 1533-position model. The record is from RNAcentral.